RNAcentral lists this unclassified non-coding RNA (942 nucleotides) under Hevea brasiliensis (rubber tree). The record is from RNAcentral. Lineage: Eukaryota; Viridiplantae; Streptophyta; Magnoliopsida; Malpighiales; Euphorbiaceae.
AUGGACCAAGGUUGCAAAUAUAAUUUUCUUGGAGCAACCUGUAAAUACUGGAUUUUCAUAUGCAACAACACCAGAAGCAAUGCAUGUUAUUGAUGUUGAUGCAUGUACCCACGUCUAUCAAUUUUUACUUAAGUGGCUCGUUGAUCAUCCAGAGUUCAGUUCAAAUAAUUUUUAUUUGGGUGGAGAUUCAUAUUCUGGUAUCGUUGUUCCACGUGUUGUCCAACUAAUAUCAGAUGGAAUUGAAGCAGGCAACAAGCCUUUGGUUAACCUUAAGGGUUAUUUACUUGGAAACCCUUUAACAUUUCCUGAAGAAAAAAAUUUUAUGAUUCCAUUUCUUGUUGGCAUGGCAAUCAUUCCUAUUGAACUUUAUCAGUCAAUGAUGCAAAAUUGCAAAGGAGAAUACAGAAAGGAGUUUGCUCCCACUAAUGCUCAAUGCAGCCAAGAUCUAAAUAUUGUGGAUGAGCUGUCGAACAAUAUUAAUGAUCAACAUGUUUUAGAUCCCCUGUGUGGAUCAGAAACAGAAUUGAAAAGCCCAUUUCCAUCUAAAUUUAGAGGGAGUAGAAGAUCUAUUCAAGAGAAUGCCAUCUCACCCAGCUGUUAUGGAAAGCUUGUUGAUAGACACGAACUUUCAAAUUAUUGGGCAAAUGACCCUCGAGUCCAGAAAGCUCUCCAUGUUCGAAAGGGAACUAUAGAUCACUGGGCAAGAUGCAAGCAAAAUGGUAUUAAAAAAUACUAUACAUUUACCUCUAUGGACAGUAUUUCAUAUCAUAGAAAUCAUAGCGCUAAAGGUUAUCGAUCACUUAUAUACAGUGGUGAUCAUGACAUGGGUGUACCAUUCCAAUCUACAGAAGCAUGGAUUAAAUCAUUAAAUUAUUCAAUUGUUGAUAAUUGGCGUCAAUGGAUCGUUAAUGGUCAAGUUGCCGGAUACACAAGAUCAUAUGC